UGGAGGCAGCAGUGGGGAAUAUUGCGCAAUGGGCGAAAGCCUGACGCAGCCAGCCCGCGUGUGUGAUGAAGGCCUUCGGGUCGUAAAGCACUGUCGUAGGGGAAGAAUCAAUGACGGUACCCUACAAGAAAGCACCGGCUAACCCCGUGCCAGCAGCCGCGGUAAUACGGGGGGUGCAAGCGUUGCUCGGGAUCACUGGGCGUAAAGCGUCCGCAGGUGGGUGUGUGUGUCGGAUGUGAAAGCCCAGGGCUCAACCCUGGAACUGCAUUCGAAACUGCACAUCUUGAGUACGGGAGAGGGAAGCAGAAUUCCUGGUGUAGAGGUGAAAUUCGUAGAUAUCAGGAGGAAUACCUGUGGCGAAAGCGGCUUCCUGGUCCGAUACUGACACUCAUGGACGAAAGCGCGGGGAGCAAACAGGAUUAGAUACCCGUGUAGUCU
Molecule: ribosomal RNA, 438 nt
Filed under: uncultured bacterium
Lineage: Bacteria
Description: bacterial SSU rRNA
Rfam family: Bacterial small subunit ribosomal RNA
Source: RNAcentral